This 295-nucleotide ribosomal RNA is filed under the name uncultured bacterium. RNAcentral's name for it is "partial 16S ribosomal RNA". It matches the Rfam family "Bacterial small subunit ribosomal RNA", at positions 1095 to 1390 of the family's 1533-position model. The record is from RNAcentral.
AGCGCAACCCCUAUCUUUACUUGCCNUCAGGUUGGGNUGGGCACUCUAGAGAGACCGCCGGUGACAAGCCGGAGGAAGGUGGGGAUGACGUCAAGUCCUCAUGGCCCUUAUGUCCUGGGCUACACACGUGCUACAAUGGCGGUGACAGUGGGAAGCUAGGUGGUGACACCAUGCUGAUCUCUAAAAGCCGUCUCAGUUCGGAUUGCACUCUGCAACUCGAGUGCAUGAAGGUGGAAUCGCUAGUAAUCGCGGAUCAGCAUGCCGCGGUGAAUACGUUCCCGGGUCUUGUACACAC